This 1895-nucleotide ribosomal RNA is filed under the name Melanogrammus aeglefinus (haddock). RNAcentral's name for it is "SSU rRNA". It matches the Rfam family "Eukaryotic small subunit ribosomal RNA". The record is from RNAcentral. Lineage: Eukaryota; Metazoa; Chordata; Actinopteri; Gadiformes; Gadidae.
UCCGGUUGAUCCUGGCCAGUAGCAUAUGAUUGUUGUCUCAAAAGUUGAAGCCAUGCAUGAUAUAGUCCACACCGGCUGGAAAAGUGAAUGGGAAUGGCUCAUUAAAUCAGUUUAUGGUGUCCUUUGUCGUCUCCCGCUACUUGGGAUAACUGUGCAAUUCUAGAGCUAAUACCAUGCAAACGAGCGCUGACCUCGGGAUGCGUGCAUAUUAUCAGACCUAAAAACCUGCGCGGGGGCGUUUUCGCACGCGUGCGCCCCCGGCCUGUUUGGUGACUCUAGAUAACCUUGGCCCGAUCGCUCGCGCCCUCGCGGCGGCGACGACUUCAUUCGAAUGUCGCCCUAUCAACUUUCGAAUGGUUACUCUAUGUGCCUACCAUGGUGACCACGGGUAACGCUGGAAUCAGGUUUCGUUCCGGAAGAGGAGCCUGAGAAUAUGGCUACCACAUCCAAGGAGGCAGCAGCGCGCAAAGUUACCCAUUCACGAUUCGUGAGAAUGUAGUGACGGAAAAAAUAACAAUACAGGACUCUUCGCGGGCCCUGUAAUUGGAAUAUGAGUGUACUUUAAAAUCCUGUUGGCCCAGUACCCAAUUGAGGGCAAGUCUGGUGCAGCAGCCGCGGUAAUUCCAGCUCAAUAGCGUAUCUUAAAGUUUGCUGGCAGUUAAAAAGCUCGUAGUGGGAUCUCGGGGGCCGGCUGACGGUCCGCCGAAAGCGUGCCACCGACUGUCCCGGCCUGCCUCGCGCGCCCCCUUCGAUGCUUCUUGUUUGAGGCUGUCUUGCGGGUUCGAGCAGCUUUACUUUGAAAAAAAUUAGAAGUGUUCAAAGCAAGGCCCAGUUGCAGAACGAAUACUGCAGCUAGGAUAAUUGAAUAGGACUCCGGUUCUAUUUUGUUGGUUUUCUCAAUGGACUGGGGCCAUGAUCAAGAGGGACGGCCGGGGCAUUCGUAUUGCGUCGCUAGGAGGUGAAUUCUUGGACCGGCGCAAAGAACGAACGAAGAGCGAAAGCAUUUGCCCAAGAAUGUUUCAUUAAUCAAGAACGAAGUCGGAGGUUUCGAAGACGAUCAGAUACCGUUCGUAGUUCCCGACCAUAUAAACGUUGCGGACUGCGAUCCGGCGGCGUUAUUCCCAUGACCCGCCGGGGAGCUACCCGGAAAAACAAAGUCUUUGGGGUUCCGGGGGGAGUACUUGGUGCAAAGCUGAACUUAAAGGAAUUGACCGGAAGAGGGCACCACCAGGAGUGGAGCCUGCGGCUUAAUUGACCUCACACGGGAAACCUCACCCGGCCCCGGACACGGAAAGGAUUUGACAGAUUGAUAGCCUCUUUCUCGAUACUGUGGGUGUGGUGCAUGGCCGUGUUCGUAGUUGGUGGGGGCGAUUUGUGCUGGUUUAAGUCCGACAACGAACGAGACUCUGGCAGGCUAAAUAGUUACGGCGCCCGUGCGGGUCGGCGUCCAGAACUUCUUAGAAGGACAAGUGGCGUACAGCCACGAGAUGAGCAAAUAACAGGUCUGUGAUGCCCUUAAUAUGUCCGGGGGCUGCCCGCGCGCGCACACUGAAGCGAUCAGCGUCGUGCCUCGCCCUCGCCGACCGUACAGGCGUGGGAUAACCCGCUGAACCCCCGUGUGAUGGGGAUUGGGAUUGCAACUAUUUGUCCCAUGAACGAGGAAUUCCCAGUAAAGCAACGUCACAAGCUCGUGUGACUUAAGUCCCUUGCCCUUUGCUACACACCGCCCGUCGCUAUACUGCGAUUGGAUGGCUUAGUGAGGUCCCUCGGAUCGGCCCCGCCGGAGAGUCUUCCACGGCCUCUGGCGCGCGUGCCGGAGAAGACGAUCCAACUUGACUAUCUAGAGGAAGUAAAAGUCGUAAACCAAGGUUUCCGUAGGUGUGAACCUGCGGAAG